RNAcentral lists this long non-coding RNA (1239 nucleotides) under Homo sapiens (human). Its description in RNAcentral is "HSALNT0233265". Lineage: Eukaryota; Metazoa; Chordata; Mammalia; Primates; Hominidae. The record is from RNAcentral.
UUACUAUUAUUAUUUUAUAAAUUUCCCCAGAUUAUAAAGGUAGAAUGGCGAGUAGGUAUCUUCUCUUCUCUAUAGCCAAAGGGAUCUUUUUAAAACAGAAGUCAGGUCAGGUCCAUCCUCGAUCAAAAUGCUUCAAUGGCUUUCUGCCUCAUUCAAAAUCAAAGCCAAUACUAGGCCCUACUUGAUCCAAACUCCCUCAUCCCCAACCUUCUGCUCAUUUCCUGCUAUUCAUCUUCUCUCUCACUCUAUUCCAGCCUUCAUUCACCUCCGUGUUGUUCCUGGAAUGUGUCAAAUAUGCUGUCACUUUCAGGCCCUUAUAAGUACUGCUCCCUCUAGCUGAAACAUUCUUUUCCCAGAGUCAAAAACUUUUCCUGACCACUCAUUAUAAAAGAGCAAUCACCCUAACCCCUGGCACCCUAUACCCCCUUUACCUGAUUUAUUCGCCUCUAUAGUACUUAUUACCACCCAACAUAAAUAACAUAAAUUUACCUUUUGGUGAUAACAGAAUAUAUAGGGCUUAACUAAAUAUAACGAUUGCUAAUUGAAAAUUUCUCCUAUUACUUUAUUGUGCUGGCUUAGAAAACAGUGACGUACAUUAGCAAAGCCUUUCAAUUUUUAAGAUUAAUCAGGCAGAAUCUUCAUAGUCAGAUGAAUCUAUGUAAUACAUUACAUUAAAUGGGUUAGAUCCUUUCUCACAGAAAUUAACAAAUAAUUUUGAAGUGUGUUUAAGGCUUAUAUAUUAUCAUAUUAGUAGCUCCUUCAAAAGACAACAAACACUUGACACACAUACCUGUUCUAGUAGUGAACUUCAACAAAGAGAGUUUUCUCUGUGAGGAAGGCUAGAGAUAAAAGGGAAAAGAAAACCGGCUUCUACAGGAGGAUCCUGAAAAUGUUACCUCCCACUUUUUGAAAAAACCCUCUUUGAGGAUUUUUAUAGGCAUAGAGACUUGGUUUAAGUCUGUCGUGUGUGUGCCCUUUGACUUAGAAAAGGGAUCAAUUGAAAUAAAGAUAUGUGUCCUGAUUCUCAUCGACAGAUGAAAGAGCAAAACAUUAGGCUAGUAUCACAUCUAGGGAAGAGAGAAGAGAGAAAUAUUAGAACACAGGUAAAGAGAAAUAAACAACAAGAGAAGAAAUAGUUGUCCUGUGAGGCUUAGCCUGUGGGCUUCUAUAUACCUAGUACCUGAAAUAUAGAGGUAUAAAUCAAACACUUAUUAGCUAGCCCCACAGGAACAAACUGAU